Molecule: non-coding RNA, 808 nt
Filed under: Psacothea hilaris
Lineage: Eukaryota; Metazoa; Arthropoda; Insecta; Coleoptera; Cerambycidae
Source: RNAcentral
AAAGUGUCUAUGGGUUGGUAUAUGGUGAUUAAAGUUUUAUUUUUGUUUAAUAAUUAAAUUAAAUUUGGUGGUUAUAUGUAAAUUUUUGUAAAAAUAAAAAUUUUAUUUAAAUAAUAAAAUGAAGAUUUUAUUCGCAGUAGCUAAUUUUAAUAAUUAAAGAAAUUUAGAAUUAGGAAAAGUUUUUAGUAUUGACUAAAUUUGUGCCAGCAGUUGCGGUUAUACAAAUAAUAUAAUUUAAUUUUUUUUUUAGUAUUAAUAUGUUUUUAAAUUAUAUAAUUUUAAAGUAAAAUUUGUUAGGUGAAAUUUUAAAUUUUACAAUAAAUUAAUAUUUGGUGAUUAAUUGAUAAAUUUAAUGAUAAACUAGGAUUAGAUACUCUAUUAUUAUAAGUGUAAAUUUAUGCUAGAUUAGUAAAAGUUAUGUUCUCUAAAAUUAAUGAUUUUGGCGGUUUUUUAGUCUAUUCAGAGGAAUCUGUUCUGUAAUCGAUAGUCCACGAUUUAAUUAUCCUUUGUUAAAAGUUUGUAUAUCGUCGUAAUUAGAGUAUUUUAUAAGAAUUUAAAUAUUCAAUAUUUAUUUGUUAAUAUAAAUCAGAUCAAGGUAUAGCUUAUAUAAAGGUAGAAAUGGGUUACAUUUAUUUUAAUAUGGGAUUAUUUUAUGAAAAAUAGUAUGAAUUUGGAUUUGAAAGUAAUUUUAAUUAAAUUAUUAAUUUGAUUUUAGCUCUAAAAUAUGCACAUAUCGCCCGUCGCUUUCAUUUUAAGGUGAAAUAAGUCGUAACAAAGUAGGCUUACUGGAAAGUGAGCCUAGAAAGAA